UAUUUUUUCAGUUUCAAUAUUGGAUGUAUAUGCAAAUAACCCAGAAAAAGAUCAUGUAAUAACAAAAGAAAUUAUAAAAGAAAAAAAGGAAGAAGAAAUGGCUGGAAAAAUUGAUGAUAGAGCAGCUUUUUCUUGUUACCCACCUCGGAGGAUCAAGUUGGAAAGGGCUAUUGAUAUUGUGGAGACGUUUUCUCACAGAUCUUGCUUAUCAGACAAAGACUAUGCUGGAACACCAUUGAAAGAGUAUUUGCUGUAUGAUAACAACAAGAAAACCCAAGCAUCAAUUUAUUUUAUACUUCUGGGAAAGAAUGCAUUUGACCCAAUUUUUAAAUAUUUAUUUUUUGUUAUUAAUGUUAAAUUUUCUUCCAAAACACAAUUAGAUUUUAAUUCUCUUCAGAAAUGUAUGUAUAAUAUAGCAAGUAAAGUGGCAUAUAAAUCACUUAGAAUUUGGUCAGAAAUCAUAAAGUAUUUAAUAGGCAUUACUAGAAACCAAAUGUAGAUCAAAUACA
Molecule: long non-coding RNA, 509 nt
Organism: Patella vulgata (common limpet)
Lineage: Eukaryota; Metazoa; Mollusca; Gastropoda; Patellidae
Exons: 3
Source: RefSeq, a predicted model, not a curated record